RNAcentral lists this ribosomal RNA (492 nucleotides) under uncultured bacterium. Its description in RNAcentral is "partial 16S ribosomal RNA". It matches the Rfam family "Bacterial small subunit ribosomal RNA", at positions 29 to 507 of the family's 1533-position model. The record is from RNAcentral.
AGUGAACGCUGGCGGUAGGCCUAACACAUGCAAGUCGAACGGCAGCACAGUAAGAGUUUGCUCUUACGGUGGGCGGGUGGCGGACGGGUGAGGAAAACAUCGGAACCUACUUUUUGGUGGGGGUUAACGUAGGGAAACUUACGCUAAUACCGCAUACAACCUACGGGGGAAGGCAGGGGAUCUUCGAACCUGGCGGGAUUGAAGGAGCGGAUGCCGGAUUAGUUAGUUGGGGGGGUAAAGGCCCACCAAGGCGAGGAUCCGUAGCUGGUCUGAGAGGAUGAUCGGCCACACUGGAACUGAGACACGGUCCAGACUCCUACGGGAGGCAGCAGUGGGGAAUAUUGGACAAUGGGCGCAAGCCUGAUCCAGCCAUACCGCGUGGGUGAAGAAGGCCUUCGGGUUGUAAAGCCCUUUUGUUGGGAAAGAAAAGCAGCAGGUUAAUACCCCGCUGUUCUGACGGUACCCAAAGAAUAAGCACCGGCUAACUUCGUG